Long non-coding RNA from Triticum aestivum (bread wheat), 1025 nucleotides. RefSeq lists it as uncharacterized. The record is from RefSeq and is a predicted model, not a curated record. The transcript is spliced from 3 exons. Lineage: Eukaryota; Viridiplantae; Streptophyta; Magnoliopsida; Poales; Poaceae.
CCUCUCUCAAGCAACAGCACCUUGUACUUUUUCGACAGCGUUGCUGCCAAUGGGCAUCCGGCCGUGCCCCCGCCGACAAUGAUGUAGUCAUAUGCUUCAUGCUGGAUUUUGGAGAAACUGCUUGCCUUCCAGAGGGGAGGGAGAUCCGGUGUGGCGGAGUUUCUUCCUGCAAGUUUAAGUGUUUGAUAUUAUUGCCUGGAGCUGCUUGGUUUCAGGUUUCUUUUGGUUAUAAAUAAUUCUACAGGUUGCGAAAAGAAGAUAACUACUAUGAUAAACUAAGAAAAUGUACGCCUGAAUGCAAGAGCUCAGAGCGAACCUAGAUGGCAUAGGUGCACUUAUUACAUGUACAUGGAGCGCCAACUGGCAACAUGUUUGAGUGGUCACAGCAAAGGACUUGUGUGGCACCUGCAAAUUGAGCACAUGAUGGCUGUCUUGUCUUGCUAGGUUGUCCGUCAUUGAAGAAAGCAAUUCGGUUAUGAGAUGAUCACCCAGAAACCAGUGAACUGGACUGUGCACCAGAGCUGAUGGAAGCGUCUUAAAAUCCUCUACGAAUGCUUGUGUGUUUUUUCUUUUUCUUUAGAUGACAAAUGCUUGUGUUAAUACGGUGGUGGUAUCAGUGAGCUAAGCACCGAACAGACAACAUGAGAGGACAGAAAUAGUGAAAUAAUCGAUGUGGUUGAGCUGGGCCUGCUGGCGUUCAUUUAUGGUAGCAACUCGCCAGCAAAUCAUUUAGGCCACACAGUGGAUUUUGAGAUCAUACUGGUGGUUAUGUGGCCGGAGAUCUGAUUCAUGGGUUUCUCACAACAGUGGGCUCUUCUGUAGCCCUAUAGUUUCGUUGGGCGUUUUAUGUGGCCUCAUCAACCGAAUUACUGGAGCAACGACUCACUGAAUAUCUUGUUUUUCUGGAGGUGUGUAGGACAAUUAGGGUUUCGGUCCUGUCCUUCUGCCUUAUCGGCGAUGCCACUCACAAUACAUAUUGUAGUUAGAGGGUGGGACCUACUUAUACCGUCAAUUCUAGAGCUUGA